Helianthus annuus (common sunflower) is the source of this 2097-nucleotide long non-coding RNA. RefSeq lists it as uncharacterized. The record is from RefSeq and is a predicted model, not a curated record. Lineage: Eukaryota; Viridiplantae; Streptophyta; Magnoliopsida; Asterales; Asteraceae. The transcript is spliced from 8 exons.
UGUGUUAUUGGAGAUGGUCUUAGAAGAAACCCUAACACAGAUCUCUCAAGUUCACCCGCACACCAAGUCUCUGCCUCUCUCCUUCUUGCAACUCCGACCACCGGAGUGAGCUCCGGCGACAAGCAUAUACCCAGCUCCGGUUCUCUUCUCCAGCCGCAUACCCACCUCCAAACUCUGGUCUCUCCUUAAAAUCAAAACGACAGAUAGAGAGAGAGCUUGAAACAGAGACUAAGAGAGAGAGAGAGAGAAAGUGAGAAACCAGAGAAAAAGAGAGGGAUAUGUGGAAGAAAAGAGCGACUGUUCACGAAACGGCAGCUCUCCGGCGAGGGUGAGAGCGGUGAUGAAGUGGUGGCUCGAGGUCGAAACAGAGACGGAGAGGGUACGGUGGCCGCGUUCUUCCAAAAACCCACCCAAAACCUAGAGAGAAAAGGAUCAGGGGAGUGUCCGGUCGGCCAGUCGUUCCUUCAACGGCGCGUGCACCAUCACGCCACGCAGAUCAGAAGUCCGAUUUCCAAGACAUGGUGACAGUUUGGAGGUCGGACAAGGAUCGCGUGGAGAUGUAACUAUCUUGCUUAGUCAUUAAUAACGUUCAAUAACGAGGAAAGUUUGAGAAAAUUGUUGUAGUACGAUCCAUAUGUUCAAGAUUCAAGGAGACAACUGAUCUGCCUAUAUGUUUAAGCAAGGGUAUUUUUCCAUAAAAUUAGAGUCAACAAACGUGUAUACAUAAUAUUAUACAUGUUCUAUCCUGAAGAACUAGAGACAAAUGAGUGUCUUGAAAGGAAUGUUAGUUGUUGUAUUGACACACAAAAUGGCAUAAGUGCUUUCAAGGACACUUAUAGAGGACGAGUAUGCGAAUGCCUUGCUGUAAACGGGGUGCAAUUUCUAAGGGAUGGACAUAUGCGUUUUGUGAAAGUUCAUGGAAUCCCCUUUAGUUGAGUUUUUAACAACACCACUCUUAACAUAUGUAACGUGCUUUAUAAUAUUGGAUGGUAUAAAUGACCGUCGUCGGACCCGGUAGAUGUAACGUCAACAAUGGCAGAUGUUGGUCGGCUAUACGGGAUGGAUAAAGGAGAAUAACAUAACCGGUUGUGGUUGCCCACAGGUAUUCGUGUAGAUGGUCGUACUUGUGAAGGUGUAAGGCCACUAAUGGUGGAUAUGAACGCAAACGCAAGGGGGACAAACUGUACAUAGCUGAUCAUCUUUUUUCGGUUAUUAAGUAUCAAAGUGUUGUUCAUGAGGUCGAUCCGUAGUUCAAUUACCAGCGGUUGUCAUGCCAAAUUGAUUCGUGCUUUAUCUUGCAAUAACCUCAGUUCCUAACCCUCAUUGUAUCCUUUUCCAAUUGAUUCAAGUUAGUGAUGAUCUUCUUUAUUGUUUGUAUCUAAUCAGUCCAUACUACAAGUCGAAAAGGCACACAUGUAAAGGCGAAUAUCAUGCAAGUAAUACAGUAUUUAAAUUUUUAACUCAAACCAAUAUUGAAUACAUGAACACAUAUGUAUACAGGUAUAAAAUCAUCGCUACAGUAACCAACAACACAGGAGGAAUCCAGGCAGUGAUUUUCGACCGAGCAGGCAACCAACUAUUGGGAAUGACAUGCGAAGAACUGGCUGCAAACGAAGACCCCAUGAAAACUCUGUAUAUAGUUAUCGGCAAAGAAGCAUACAUGAACAUCCAUCCACUAAGAACAUUGAACCAGCUUCUUCCGGUCUCACUGAUGCAAUAAAAACACCACAACCAACCACACCAACUCAAAAGGCAAACACUGGAAACGCAGCCAAGCACCAACUGGAAUUCCACGACUCAAAUCAGCCAUCUAAAAGGCCUGGCAAAGGCACCCUCACAGACUAAAAUCUGGUUAACAACAAUCAUUUGUUUUGUCCACCUAGAUCAACAACUAUAAGUGGGAUGGCAGAGUCAAGAGCAAGAAAUAGUCAACCAAUCUCUUUUGUACAAAUGAUGAUGACUGAACUGCAUGCUGCAUACACAAGCAACAUAGCACGUCAACUUUGUAAAACAUGUAGCUAAUGGCUGAAUGUUAAUGCCUAGACAUACUAUUUUUUUAUGGUUGCAUCUGCAAAGCAGCAUAACAACUUUAUGAUC